GUCUACGGCCAUGCCACCCUGAACAUGCCCAACCUCGUCUGAUCUCGGAAGCUAAGCAGGGUCUGGCCUGGUUAGUACUUAGAUGGGAGACCAUCUAGGAAGACCAGGUACUGUAGAUC
Molecule: ribosomal RNA, 119 nt
Filed under: Pteropus alecto (black flying fox)
Lineage: Eukaryota; Metazoa; Chordata; Mammalia; Chiroptera; Pteropodidae
Also listed under: 1 other name
Source: RNAcentral